GUUGUCGUGGCCGAGUGGUUAAGGAGAUGAAUAUAAAUCUUUUGGGAUCUUCCCGCGCAGGUUCGAAUCCUGCCACAUCG
Molecule: transfer RNA, 80 nt
Filed under: Dreissena polymorpha
Lineage: Eukaryota; Metazoa; Mollusca; Bivalvia; Myida; Dreissenidae
Description: tRNA-Tyr
Source: RNAcentral